Molecule: ribosomal RNA, 499 nt
Filed under: uncultured Actinomycetes bacterium
Lineage: Bacteria; Bacillati; Actinomycetota; Actinomycetes
Description: bacterial SSU rRNA
Rfam family: Bacterial small subunit ribosomal RNA
Source: RNAcentral
UGACGCAGCGACGCCGCGUGCGGGAUGAGGCCCUCGGGUUGUAAACCGCUUCAGCAGGGACGAAAUUGACGGUACCUGCAGAAGAAGGCCCGGCCAACUACGUGCCAGCAGCCGCGGUAAUACGUAGGGGGCCAAGCGUUGUCCGGAUUUAUUGGGCGUAAAGAGCUCGUAGGCGGUUCGGCAAGUCAGUUGUGAAAUCUCCGCGCUCAACGCGGAGGGGGUCAGCUGAAACUGCCGUGACUUGAGUCUGGUAGGGGAGUGUGGAAUUCCCGGUGUAGCGGUGAAAUGCGCAGAUAUCGGGAGGAACACCAGUGGCGAAGGCGGCACUCUGGGCCAGUACUGACGCUGAGGAGCGAAAGCGUGGGGAGCGAACAGGAUUAGAUACCCUGGUAGUCCACGCCGUAAACGUUGGGCACUAGGUGUGGGGACCUAUCGACGGUUUCCGUGCCGUAGCUAACGUCAUUAAGUGCCCCGCCUGGGGAGUGCGGCCGCAAGGCUA